UACGUAGGGGGCAAGCGUUGUCCGGAUUUACUGGGCGUAAAGCGCGCGUAGGUGGAAGCUUAAGUGUGGCUUGAAAGCCCCCGGCUCAACCGGGGAAGGUGGCUGCAAACUGGGCUUCUUGAGGGCGAUAGAGGAGUGUGGAAUUCCUGGUGUAGCGGUGAAAUGCGUAGAGAUCAGGAGGAACACCGGUGGCGAAGGCGGCACUCUGGAUCGGCCCUGACACUGAGGCGCGAAAGCGUGGGGAGCAAACAGG
Molecule: ribosomal RNA, 253 nt
Filed under: uncultured bacterium
Lineage: Bacteria
Description: partial 16S ribosomal RNA
Rfam family: Bacterial small subunit ribosomal RNA
Source: RNAcentral